UAGUGGCGAACGGGUGAGUAACACGUGAGUAACCUGCCCUUGACUCUAGGAUAAGCCCGGGAAACUGGGUCUAAUACUGGAUAGGAACGUCUACCGCAUGGUGGAUGUUGGAAAGAAUUUCGGUCAUGGAUGGACUCGCGGCCUAUCAGCUUGUUGGUGAGGUAAUGGCUCACCAAGGCGACGACGGGUAGCCGGCCUGAGAGGGUGACCGGCCACACUGGGACUGAGACACGGCCCAGACUCCUACGGGAGGCAGCAGUGGGGAAUAUUGCACAAUGGGCGAAAGCCUGAUGCAGCGACGCCGCGUGAGGGAUGACGGCCUUCGGGUUGUAAACCUCUUUCAGUAGGGAAGAAGCGAAAGUGACGGUACCUGCAGAAGAAGCACCGGCUAACUACGUGCCAGCAGCCGCGGUAAUACGUAGGGUGCGAGCGUUAUCCGGAAUUAUUGGGCGUAAAGAGCUCGUAGGCGGUUUGUCGCGUCUGUCGUGAAAGUCCGGGGCUUAACCCCGGAUCUGCGGUGGGUACGGGCAGACUAGAGUGCAGUAGGGGAGACUGGAAUUCCUGGUGUAGCGGUGGAAUGCGCAGAUAUCAGGAGGAACACCGAUGGCGAAGGCAGGUCUCUGGGCUGUAACUGACGCUG
RNAcentral lists this ribosomal RNA (640 nucleotides) under Micrococcus antarcticus. RNAcentral describes it as "bacterial SSU rRNA". It matches the Rfam family "Bacterial small subunit ribosomal RNA", at positions 93 to 748 of the family's 1533-position model. Lineage: Bacteria; Bacillati; Actinomycetota; Actinomycetes; Micrococcales; Micrococcaceae. The record is from RNAcentral.